GGUGCAUGGUUGUCGUCAGCUCGUGUCGUGAGAUGUUGGGUUAAGUCCCGCAACGAGCGCAACCCUUAUUGUUAGUUGCUACGCAAGAGCACUCUAGCGUGACUGCCGUUGACAAAACGGAGGAAGGUGGGGACGACGUCAAAUCAUCAUGCCCCUUAUGUCCUGGGCCACACACGUACUACAAUGGUGGUCAACAGAGGGAAGCAAUACCGCGAGGUGGAGCAAAUCCCUAAAAGCCAUCCCAGUUCGGAUCGCAGGCUGCAACCCGCCUGCGUGAAGUUGGAAUCGCUAGUAAUCGCGGAUCAGCAUGCCGCGGUGAAUACGUUCCCGGGCCUUGUACACACCGCCCGUCACACCAUGAGAGUCGGGAACACCCGAAGUCCGUAGCCUAACCGCAAGGGGGGCGCGGCCGAAGGUGGGUUCGAUAAUUGAGGUGAAGUCGUAACAAGGUAGCCGUAUCGGAAGGUGCGGCUGGAUCACCUC
RNAcentral lists this ribosomal RNA (483 nucleotides) under uncultured bacterium. Its description in RNAcentral is "bacterial SSU rRNA". It matches the Rfam family "Bacterial small subunit ribosomal RNA", at positions 1040 to 1529 of the family's 1533-position model. The record is from RNAcentral.